RNAcentral lists this long non-coding RNA (1089 nucleotides) under Homo sapiens (human). Its description in RNAcentral is "HSALNT0137618". The record is from RNAcentral. Lineage: Eukaryota; Metazoa; Chordata; Mammalia; Primates; Hominidae.
AUUUUAAUUGUAUCCCAAAGAAAUCUUAGAAAAAAUACAGAGCUCUGAAGUAACUCAAAAGGUUAAGCAGUUAAAUGUACAAAUAGAGCUCCUGUUACAGCCACUGUAGGUCAGCCUGUCCUUUACAUUGUGAAGAGUUUGAAAGAGGCUAAUAAACCCAGCAGCCUAUGGCAAAGGUAAUUUAUUUUAUAUUCCUAGUCAUCACAUGCAAUAUUUUUUUGCAGGGGGAGAGCAAAUAUAAUUCAAAGAAAGUGAUAAACAAUAAAAACAGUACCUAGUGAUGCUUCCACCCCCGUUCUGAGACUGUGCCUUCCUAGUCCCUUUUGUGGUGCGUUUCACAGCCUGUUUGCACACCACCAUCUUGGAGGCUCCUACCUGACAGGCUGAGAUGCUGGGAGUCAGUAGCCCUUCUUGGAGGCGACAAAAAUCACAUGAGAUAACUAACUUCCAGGUGUGGGCACACACAUGUCUGCACCGGCACCUCCCAGCCCCAGCCCCUGGAAAACACAUCUUCUUGGCUCCCAAUCGGACCCCUGCUGGGAAUAAUUACUAAGUGGACAGAUCUCCACCUGGUGGAUUCCCUGAGUCCACGUGGAGGACAGCUUCUCCUGGGCUCGAAGUGAGAGGCUGAGCCUGCUCCACUCCCAGCUUGCACUCGCUACAUUCUACAUGGAUGAGGUCACGGGACUGCAGAUGAGGUAACAGUGCAGCCUGCCCAAGAGCUGUAAGAGGUUACCAUAUGACGAGUCGUGUAAACACAGCGAGGUCCCCGUGGGGCCUGAGGACAGCUGGACUCUGCUCCUGGCUGCAGAGUGAUGGGAGCUGCGGGACUCCAGGAGACUGUCUGCACUCUUAAAAGAGCCAAAUUACUGCCUAAGCUCAUGUCACACCUACCCGGACAUCAGUCUCCCAGCCUCAGUUGAGAGCAAGCCAGAAUCACUCCACCCCAAACACUAUCAAACGGCCACAAAAACAAGCAGACUCUCAUAGCCACGCAUGGGGCUGGUGCCCUAUAAGAUUGAAAGACAGAGAGAUUUUGCAAGCAUACCAAAGAAUUUGAAAUUUCUCCUAAGGGUCAUGGCAAAUUGU